Molecule: small RNA, 155 nt
Filed under: Prolemur simus (greater bamboo lemur)
Lineage: Eukaryota; Metazoa; Chordata; Mammalia; Primates; Lemuridae
Description: TUC338 (ENSPSMG00000012484.1)
Source: RNAcentral
CUGAUGCCCUGUCUCUUUCCCCAGAUCGGGCCCAGCACAGGCAGCGUCAGUGCAAACUUCCCCCACCCCGCCUUCCACCCAUGUGUGUCAACCCUGCCCCUGGAGGGACCAUCUCUCGAGGUAAGGGAGGAGCCAUGCCUCCAGCAACAGCUUGG